Molecule: RNA transcript, 2383 nt
Organism: Sphaerodactylus townsendi
Lineage: Eukaryota; Metazoa; Chordata; Lepidosauria; Squamata; Sphaerodactylidae
Gene: CREBZF
Gene name: CREB/ATF bZIP transcription factor
Exons: 4
Source: RefSeq, a predicted model, not a curated record
AGGCGCACUAGGCCGCGCUGCGCCCGUCGGCCAUUUUGUGUCCGGGAGUUUGGCGCCGGCAUUUUCGGGAGCCGUCUCCGGAAAGGCGGAUGAAGGCGACGGGGCGAGCCUGCCGGUGACCGGGCGGCGGCGGCGGCCUUUCUCGCCAUUUCCUGCGGGCCGGAAGGGCGCUGGCUCGGUCCAGGCCUCGCCUCCCGCCGGCCCUCAUGCGCCACAACCUCACCCAGCUGCUGGCGGCCUCGUCGGGCCCGAGCAGCCCCCGGGAGCCGGCGGCGGCCUUCCCCUUCCUGCCCUCGGGCGAUGAGGCCGAGCCGGCGGCGAACGGCGGCGGCGGCGACGACGAGCUGCUUUUCCCGGGCUUCGAGCUGGAGGACUGGCUGGAGGCGGCGGUGGGGGCCGGAGAGGCGCGGCCGGCCUGGGCCAGGGACGACUCCCGCUGCAGCCCCGAGGCGGUGGCGGUGGCGGCGGGCCGGGCGGCGCGCCUGAAAGCGGCCGAGGCGGCCCGCCUGAACCGGCAGAAGAAGAAGCGCUACGUGGAGGGCCUGGAGAGCCGCCUGCGAGGCCUGGCCGCCGAGAACCGGGAGCUGCGCGGCCGCAACCGGGGCCUGUGCCGCCGCCUGCGCGACGUGGAGCGGGAGGCCUCCUACCUGCGGGCCGUGCUGGCCAACCAGAGCGCCCUGGGACGCCUCUUGGGCCGCCUGGCCGGCCACGGCAGCCUGAGGAUCAGCACCGGCCUCUGGCAGGGCGACGACGGCGACGAGCACCGCGGGCCCGGCGACCACGACUACGCCCUCCCUGCGCCCAGGGACGACGGCGACGAGGACGAGCCCGGCCCGGCCGGCCUUUGCCUGCACGUGGACCGGGACCGGGUGUCGGUGGAGUUCUGCUCCGUCUGCUCCAGGAGGGCCUCGGCCGCCUCCCCCGCCUCUCCCGCCUCCAAAAUUUUCUUUUUUAGGUGCUUGCCCUGCCAGGCUCCGUUGUGUAGGGGUUAAAAGAACAGUCGUUUUCCACCUCGCAACCUGAAGUGGAUACAGCUGUCUUGGGGGCAGAAGAAACGGGACCAGCUGCUGGCCACAUUUCCUGCUUUAUAUUAAAAGGCACAAGAAUGACUACCCUGCCUCCUCAGAGGAAUACCCAACUACAAAAACCUUUGCCAAGCAUAAUUGGAAGGUGUACUUUUUGCUGAAAAAUUAAUGCUGAUGUAUACUGUACCAGUACAUCUUUAUCCAGUCACCUGCUUUUACAGGACAAAAAUAAUAUGUUUGGGCUAGUAGUAAGUAGCAGUAAGUGUGCAUCAGUGAAUGGUGCUGGGAGUCAAUACAUGGUAAUAUUGCUAACACUUCAGAUAUAAAAACUUGUUUCUUUCUUACCUGACUUUCUAAGCCUUCAUUGUGGCACCAAGUUAAUAGAGGACUUUGCUCAUUAUCUGACUUAAAAAAUGUGUACACUUGUGUGUGUAACUUACCAUUUAUAAGAACAUAAGAACAAGCCAGUUGGAUCAGACCAGAGUCCAUCUAGUCCAGCUGUCUGCUACUCGCAGUGGCCCACCAGGUGCCUUUGGGAUCUCACAUGCAGGAUGUGAAAGCAGUGGCCUUCUGCGGCUGCUGCUCCUGAGCACCUGGUCUGUUACCCCCCCUUUUUUUAAACAGCUUGGUAGUAUCGCGGGGGCUUUUCUGUGCAAUGUAACUUCCUGGAGAGAUGGCAUCAAAGUAGUUGGGGCCAGCUAUGUCUCAAACUGGCAUUCAACAAAAUGGAUUUUCUUCUGAGCUUCAAUUGAUCUGCUACCAUUUAGCCGACAUUAGAAAUCUUUCCAUUGACUGGUUUUGAAACAAAGCAUUAAGAAGGCUGAGACAUAUUAAAGAGCUGAGCUGCAUAAGAACUCAGCACAAGAGCGCAACGGGGAGCUAGUAUAACUAAGCCUAUUUGCAUAACUCAUAGUAUAAAACUUUACUAACAAUUGUAAUGUUGAUUAAUAAUGUUCAAAGUUUCUGCAGCCCAAACACUAGGUGUUGUGAGUCUUUUGUUAGGAAGUGGAACACACAGGGUAUCACAGUAAGCAUAUGGAGUUAAAUAUAUGGAGAUGCACCCUGCGUGACUUUACUAGUAUACUGAAACCAGCCUAUACAUAGUUUGCGCUUGGAUUACUGGCAGCUGUUCAUUUCAAUUAUUUCCCCUUCUGUAAAGCUUUUCUCUGCUCAUACAGUUUUUUUCCCCAGACACUGCUUACUUAUACUUGUUAUUAUAGCAUCUUCUUGUCUGUCCAGGUUACCUUAACUGAAGGAUUAAUUUUCUUAUGUUUGAUUCUGUACUGAACCACAGGUUGCAGGUAAAACAUGUCUGGUUUCCAGAAUUUGGCUGGAAAACCUGGCAUGGCAUUACCGAA